RNAcentral lists this ribosomal RNA (400 nucleotides) under uncultured bacterium. Its description in RNAcentral is "bacterial SSU rRNA". It matches the Rfam family "Bacterial small subunit ribosomal RNA", at positions 356 to 773 of the family's 1533-position model. The record is from RNAcentral.
GGGGAAUAUUGCACAAUGGGCGAAAGCCUGAUGCAGCAACGCCGCGUGAGUGAUGAAGGUCUUCGGAUUGUAAAGCUCUGUCUUUUGGGACGAUAAUGACGGUACCAAAGGAGGAAGCCACGGCUAACUACGUGCCAGCAGCCGCGGUAAUACGUAGGUGGCAAGCGUUGUCCGGAUUUACUGGGCGUAAAGGGUGCGUAGGCGGAUGUUUAAGUGAGAUGUGAAAUACCCGGGCUUAACCUGGGUACUGCAUUUCAAACUGGAUAUCUAGAGUGCAGGAGAGGAGAAUGGAAUUCCUAGUGUAGCGGUGAAAUGCGUAGAGAUUAGGAAGAACACCAGUGGCGAAGGCGAUUCUCUGGACUGUAACUGACGCUGAGGCACGAAAGCGUGGGUAGCAAAC